UGGAAUGUAGCUCAGUGGUAGAGCAAUGUAUAUAAACUAUGCGCCGCAGGUUCGAUUCCUGCCAUUCCGA
This 70-nucleotide transfer RNA is filed under the name Caudoviricetes sp. RNAcentral's name for it is "tRNA-Leu". It matches the Rfam family "tRNA". From Rfam's summary of the family: Transfer RNA (tRNA) molecules are approximately 80 nucleotides in length. The record is from RNAcentral. Lineage: Duplodnaviria; Heunggongvirae; Uroviricota; Caudoviricetes.